UCUCUUCCUCAUUGAACCUCCCUUUUUUCUAUUUUUCAAAAUUUGAGACUCACCAUUUUUUCUUCUACAUUUUUUGACAGGUGCAAUUUUUUUCUCAAUACAUCAUUGGGUUCUUCAUUCAUCUUGACUCAAAGGUAUAAUCUUUCCUUUUAAGUUCCUUCCAAUCUAUUGAUAUUAACUUACUCAUCAUUCCAAAUUUAAAAUGUUAUUCUAUGUGUUCUUAUUCAUAUUUGCAAGUUUGUUUGUCUUUAUUUUAUGCAUGUUACUACUCUACAUCUUCUAAUCACGCUUUUUUUUUUCAUCUUCAUCACACUUCCAAUGUCUCAUAUAUCUUCAUCACACGUUUUUUCUCUCUUCCUUUCCAUUUUACACACACAAAAAUAGAUUGACCGAGUGGAUAGUUUUCAUUCGAAGUUUGAAUCUUUGUAUAAGAAAGUUGGAAAUUUUGAUGUUAUCAAAGAAAGUUGAAAUUUUGAAUAAUAUAGAAGAAAGUUACAAUAUUUAUAGAAGAAGAUUGUAGAAGAAAGUUGUAAUUUUUUAUAUUAUAGAUGAAACUUGGAAUUUUUUAUGUUAUAGAAGAAAUUUGAAAGCUUCAAAUAAGAAAGUCUAAAUCUUUAAUGAAUCUUUGGGAGCUUAUAUGUUGUUGGUGACCCUCACUUUUGUUUCCAUCUUUAUAAAUUUUGUUAAUCUAAAUUAUGAACCUGAUCAUCUCCUUGGAAUAUAAUUGCCAUUUUAUUCAAUUUUAAAGAUUAUUUAUUUUUAAAUUAACAAUGUUUUAAGUUUAAAUAAUUCAAUUUAAAUUGUUAGAUAUGUUAAUCCCAUUGUUAGAUAAGAAAAUAAGACUCAAUUUAAGUUUAGAAAAUCUAAAAUAUGACAUAAAUAAAAUUCAAUUAAUCUUUUAAAUUCAAUUAUUUAUUAUCUGGUUUUUAUAUUAUGUGUAUGUGUUGAUUUUUUACUUUAUUAUUGCAAAUGAUUGUUUCUACUUUACUUAAAUCUCAUGCUAUUAUUAACACCCUCAUUUCUCAUUAUAUGAUAUCUUUUGUGUUUCAAUCAGUUAUAUGUUUUUGUAUUUUUGUACUAAGCAUAUAUAUUUAAGUUAAAGUAUAAUAUAUAAUACAUAUAUGUAUAUAUACAUAUACAUGUAUGAAUGUGUCUCUUAUUUGUACUUUAUUACAUUCAUUAUCCAAUUUUUGUAUUAUGUGUAUGAGUUUUUUUUACUUUGCUAUUCCAAAUGAUUAUUUCUACUUUGCUUAAAUCCCAUGCUAUCAUUAAUGCACCACAAUUGUCAUUAUAUGAUCUCUUAUGUGUUUUAGUUAGUUAUAUGUUUUUUGUAUUUUUGUACUAAACAUUUAAAGAUUCGGGCUAUUGUAGCAUAAAAAUGCAUUUGUCAAUCUAAUGGUUGGACAUUAUAUGAGAUGAGACACAAGAAGAUGAUACAUGUAAUAUUAUAUCAUUUUUAACAAAGAUUAUAUACAUUCACCAUUUUUGCUUCAACCAUUAUUGAUUAUAUCUGCAUGUGUUUAUUCAUGAGAAUUAUGAUUUUGAUGAUCAACUUUUGAUCCCAUUAAUUCAAAUCUUGAUCAUGUGUAAAAUAAUAUUGGAAUAAAUGGUCACAAUAGACAUAGUGAAAAUAAGGAAUAAGGAUAUCAAGUUGUAAGUUGUUGCCAUCCAAUUUCAAAACAUUGCUAAACCAAAUGUAUGUUUUUUCAAGUUCUUGCUUUUAAUGUUUAGUUCAACCUUUACUAAUUGUGGAUUCUAGGUUCUCUUUGUUGUUUUUUAGUUCAAAAUCUAUUAAUAAGGUAACAUUUUUAACUAACAAAAUAAUUAUUAUUUUGGUCAUUUUUGUUAGAUGAAGCUUAUUUUAUUCUUUUUUAGGUGAAGAUAACAUUUUUUGAAUGAUUUAUCAUUACACUUUAUUUCAAAUUUCUUGGUUGUAUUUUGAAUAGCCAUGAAAAAAUACAAAGGACACCCAUAAAUUAGUAAGACACCCAUAAAUUAGUAAGACAUCAUUCAUAUAUUAGACACUCACAUAACUACAAUGAUCAGCUAUGAAGACAUUUUGAUCCUUCUAAUAUAUUAUUUCUAUGAUGUAGCAAUGCUUCAUUUAUUGAAUUUGUACUUCUAUGUCAUUAUCACAGUGUUAAUAGUUUUAAAAAUUUCUAGCAUGCCAAAGAUAUGACACAUUUUCAGGGUUCAUCACGUGGCACAUCAUUUAUUGCAAUUGUACUUCUCUUUUAUUGUUAUUAUUACAGUGUCAAUAAUUUUAAAAUGUGCAUAUUUCUUUAUCUUUUGUUUUUAGAUUCUCAUGAGGGAAGAAAAUGUUACUAAAGCCACAUGUGUAAUAGCCAUGAAAAAAAUACAAAGGACACCCAUAAAUUUAUUACCACCA
This 2389-nucleotide long non-coding RNA is filed under the name Lupinus angustifolius (narrow-leaved blue lupine). RNAcentral describes it as "long non-coding RNA (LANG_LNC001257)". The record is from RNAcentral. Lineage: Eukaryota; Viridiplantae; Streptophyta; Magnoliopsida; Fabales; Fabaceae.